This is a non-coding RNA of Mus musculus (house mouse), 302 nucleotides long. Lineage: Eukaryota; Metazoa; Chordata; Mammalia; Rodentia; Muridae. The record is from the annotation of a RefSeq genome assembly.
CAGGUUACUCUGAAAGAGUCUGGCCCUGGUAUAUUGCAGCCCUCCCAGACCCUCAGUCUGACCUGUUCUUUCUCUGUGUUUUCACUGAGCACUUUUGGUAUGGGUGUGAGCUGGAUUCGUCAGCCUUCAGGGAAGGGUCUGGAGUGGCUGGCACACAUUUAUUGGGAUGAGGACAAGCACUAUAAACCAUCCUUGAAGAGCCGGCUCACAAUCUCCAAGGAUACCUCCAACAACCAGGUAUUCCUCAAGAUCACCACUGUGGACACUGCAGAUACUGCCACAUACUACUCUGCUCGAAGAGC